CUACGUGCCAGCAGCCGCGGUAAUACGUAGGGUGCGAGCGUUAAUCGGAAUUACUGGGCGUAAAGCGAGCGCAGACGGUUACUUAAGCAGGAUGUGAAAUCCCCGGGCUCAACCUGGGAACUGCGUUCUGAACUGGGUGACUAGAGUGUGUCAGAGGGAGGUAGAAUUCCACGUGUAGCAGUGAAAUGCGUAGAGAUGUGGAGGAAUACCGAUGGCGAAGGCAGCCUCCUGGGAUAACACUGACGUUCAUGCUCGAAAGCGUGGGUAGCAAACAGGAUUAGAUACCCUGGUAGUCCACGCCCUAAACGAUGUCAAUUAGCUGUUGGGCAACUUGAUUGCUUAGUAGCGUAGCUAACGCGUGAAAUUGACCGCCUGGGGAGUACGGUCGCAAGAUUAAAACUCAAAGGAAUUGACGGGGACCCGCACAAGCGGUGGAUGAUGUGGAUUAAUUCGAUGCAACGCGAAGAACCUUACCUACUCUUGACA
This 486-nucleotide ribosomal RNA is filed under the name uncultured bacterium. RNAcentral's name for it is "bacterial SSU rRNA". It matches the Rfam family "Bacterial small subunit ribosomal RNA", at positions 501 to 986 of the family's 1533-position model. The record is from RNAcentral.